This 207-nucleotide long non-coding RNA is filed under the name Carica papaya (papaya). RNAcentral's name for it is "long non-coding RNA (CPAP_LNC011839)". The record is from RNAcentral. Lineage: Eukaryota; Viridiplantae; Streptophyta; Magnoliopsida; Brassicales; Caricaceae.
UCAAGUAUUAAACUUUCCUUAUUUCUCUAAAUCUUCUAAAAACAACAACUAAAUUCUAUAAGAUCAAGAAAUUUCGGUAGUCAAUCAAGGUAGAAUCAUUCCUAGUCGAUCAUAUCCUUCCAACGGAGAAAAUUCAACAUGUGGGAAAAAUUAAGAGAGAACAUGGACAUAACAACGAAGAUCAUUGACAAUUAAGAGAGAUCAUGG